This 332-nucleotide unclassified non-coding RNA is filed under the name soil metagenome. Its description in RNAcentral is "partial contains 5.8S ribosomal RNA, internal transcribed spacer 2, and large subunit ribosomal RNA". The stretch from base 1 to 120 matches the Rfam family "5.8S ribosomal RNA", at positions 35 to 154 of the family's 154-position model. The record is from RNAcentral.
GAUGAAGAACGCAGCAAAAUGCGAUAAGUAAUGUGAAUUGCAGAAUUCAGUGAAUCAUCGAAUCUUUGAACGCACAUUGCGCCCGCCAGUAUUCUGGCGGGCAUGCCUGUUCGAGCGUCAUUUCAACCCUCAAGCACAGCUUGGUGUUGGGACUCGCGUUAAUUCGCGUUCCCCAAAUUGAUUGGCGGUCACGUCGAGCUUCCAUAGCGUAGUAGUAAAACCCUCGUUACUGGUAAUCGUCGCGGCCACGCCGUUAAACCCCAACUUCUGAAUAUUGACCUCGGAUCAGGUAGGAAUACCCGCUGAACUUAAGCAUAUCAAUAAGCGGAGGA